UGUGUGCCUUGGUAGUCUCAGAGAGUUUGAUCCUGGCUCAGGGUGAAUGCUGGCGGCGUGGAUAAGUCAUGCAAGUCGAAGGGGGCCCGCAAGGGCAACCGGCAAACGAGGUAGUAACACGUAGGUAGACCCCCCAGAGUCGGGCAUAGCCAGCCGAAAGGUUGGGUAAUUCCCGAUAGUCCCGAAAGGGUAAAGGUUUUUCGCUCUGGGAGUUGCCUGCGUAGUAUCAGCUAGUUGGUAGGGUAAUGGCCUACCAAGGCUACGACGCUUAGGGGAGCUGAGAGGCUGACCCCCACCGAUGGAACUGCGACACGGUCCAUACUCCUACGGGAGGCUGCAGACGAGAAUAUUCCGCAAUGGGCGAAAGCCUGACGGAGCGACGCCGCGUGAUUGAUGAAGUGCUUCGGUACGUAAAGAUCUUUUAUCGGGGACGAAGUUUAUUGACGGUACCCGAUGAAUAAGGGGCUCCUAACUCUGUG
This 479-nucleotide ribosomal RNA is filed under the name uncultured bacterium. RNAcentral's name for it is "bacterial SSU rRNA". It matches the Rfam family "Bacterial small subunit ribosomal RNA", at positions 1 to 507 of the family's 1533-position model. The record is from RNAcentral.